Molecule: non-coding RNA, 110 nt
Filed under: pig gut metagenome
Description: FMN riboswitch (RFN element)
Rfam family: FMN riboswitch aptamer (RFN element)
About the family: The RFN element is a highly conserved domain that is found frequently in the 5'-untranslated regions of prokaryotic mRNAs that encode for flavin mononucleotide (FMN) biosynthesis and transport proteins.
Source: RNAcentral
AUCUUCGGGGCGGGGUGCAAUUCCCCACCGGCGGUAUAGUCCGCGACCUGCGUUUGCAGCUGAACCGGUGUAAUUCCGGUACCGACAGUAUAGUCUGGAUGAGAGAAGAA